GUGGGUAUAGCUCAGCUGGUUAGAGCGUCGGUUUGUGGCACCGAAGGUCGGAGGUUCGAACCCUCUUACCCACCCCA
RNAcentral lists this transfer RNA (77 nucleotides) under Candidatus Saccharimonadota bacterium. RNAcentral's name for it is "tRNA-His". It matches the Rfam family "tRNA". From Rfam's summary of the family: Transfer RNA (tRNA) molecules are approximately 80 nucleotides in length. Their secondary structure includes four short double-helical elements and three loops (D, anti-codon, and T loops). The record is from RNAcentral. RNAcentral also lists the same sequence under 1 other name. Lineage: Bacteria; Candidatus Saccharimonadota.